AGUAACUACUGGAAACGGUAGCUAAUACCGCAUAACGUCGCAAGACCAAAGAGGGGGGACCGUUCCGGGCCCUCUUGCCAUCAGAUGUGCCCAGAUGGGAUUAGCUAGUAGGUGGGGUAACGGCUCACCUAGGCGACGAUCCCUAGCUGGUCUGAGAGGAUGACCAGCCACACUGGAACUGAGACACGGUCCAGACUCCUACGGGAGGCAGCAUG
Molecule: ribosomal RNA, 215 nt
Filed under: uncultured bacterium
Lineage: Bacteria
Description: partial 16S ribosomal RNA
Rfam family: Bacterial small subunit ribosomal RNA
Source: RNAcentral